AUACGUAGGUGACAAGCGUUAUCCGGAUUUACUGGGCGUAAAGGGCGUGUAGGCGGUCUUGCAAGUCAGAAGUGAAAUUCCUGAGCUCAACUCGGGCGCUGCUUCUGAAACUGCAGGACUUGAGUGCUGGAGGGGAUAGCGGAAUUCCUAGUGGAGCGGUAAAAUGCGCAGAUAUUAGGAAGAACACCGGUGGCGAAGGCGGCUAUCUGGACAGUAACGGACGCUGAGGGGCGAAAGCGUGGGGAGCAAACAGGAUUAGAUACCCUGGUAGCCCACGCCGUAAACGAUGAAUACUAGGUGUAGGGGGUAUCGACUCCCUCUGUGCCGCAGUUAACACAAUAAGUGCUCCGCCUGGGGAGUACGUACGCAAGUAUGAAACUCAAAGGAAUUGACGGGG
RNAcentral lists this ribosomal RNA (397 nucleotides) under uncultured bacterium. Its description in RNAcentral is "partial 16S ribosomal RNA". It matches the Rfam family "Bacterial small subunit ribosomal RNA", at positions 523 to 918 of the family's 1533-position model. The record is from RNAcentral.